Oncorhynchus masou masou (cherry salmon) is the source of this 2375-nucleotide RNA transcript. It is a transcript of the gene named coiled-coil domain-containing protein 80-like, with no coding region annotated. The record is from RefSeq and is a predicted model, not a curated record. NCBI's taxonomy places the organism in Eukaryota, Metazoa, Chordata, Actinopteri, Salmoniformes, Salmonidae. The transcript is spliced from 5 exons.
CUGUGGAGUCUUAAUUUGCAUGGUGCAACGUGCUGAAUAAGAUAUAUGUGAAGACAUACUGCAGAUCUGUUCCGUCCUACACCAAGUGUCCCAAAGGAGUAUGCAAUGCAAAGGGAAGGCUGCACUGAAGAGCAAAAUUCAGGACAUUCUCAGCGGUCGCUCCAGGUUCAUCAUUCGAAAGACGACCACUGAUUCAAAAGGAACACAAGUUUUCAUCACAGGGAAGGCAAACUCCAAAGCUGUGGGAAAGGACAACCAAAACAAGAAUGGAAAUGUUUUUACAGAAAUAAACACAUAUCCUUCUACUGUAGAGAUAAGAGAAAGAAAGACCGUGGCCAACUCUAGAGAUAAUAAACCAGAGAACGUUGGCGAGGGAGAAGAAUCCUUGGAGAAAAACAACUCCCCCAAAAAAGGCAAGGGAAAGAAAGAUGGGAAGAAAGGGAAAGGGAAAGGGAGAGUGAAGAAAAACCACAGAGAAGUGAAUGAGAACAAUAAGAAAGCACUGAUGGACUUUGUAGAGCAUUUGAAGGGGAAGAGAAGACUUAUGGUGAUAGCCACGCCCAGUGCCACGAGCUUCAUUUCUGUGACCUUGCCCUGAGAAAAGUUACUAUGGCAACCAUCCUGAGCUCAGGGCCUGACACUACCCUCACCCUGCACCACUACCAACUUGAUUCUGAGGCGCCAUUCACCUCACGACCAGAGAAGUUCACUGACCCAGAUCUCAUCUCUCAAUUGAUGAAGCACCAUGGGAUGUCCUCUAAGGUUUUCUCUAUUACUAUGACUGACUAUGAUCUGAAACCCAAUGUAAGCAUAAUCUCUAUCUUGCCAGUGAUAUUUUGAUAACACAGAUCACCUUCCUCAGAAAAGUGUAUAAAUGUUUAUUGCACUUAAUGUGCCAAAUUUAAAUGCAGUAUGUGGUAUUUGUAACGGUCGUUGUUGGUGGAAGAAGAGGAGGACCAAAGCGCAGCGUGUUAUGUGUUCAUGAUGUAAAUAUUUAAUGAAUCAAACUGAACACUGAAAUACAAAACAACAAAGUGAAAGACCGAAACGACAACGAACCAGUCCUGUCUGGUGAAGACACACAACAGAAAAUAAUCACCCACAACUCAAGGAAAGUAUUUGAUGUACCUCCACCCUCAUCUGCGUUGAUGGAAUAUGUUGACAUCUUUCCAUCGCGACGAUCUGAAAUGGAGAGAGAGAGAAACUCCACUGACCUGCUCCAAAUCCCAAGAACAGGGCGGGGCAUUGUUGAGAACUUUGAAAGUUUCUUCAAGUGCAGUCGCAAAAACCAUCAAGCUCUAUGAUGAAACUGGCUCUCAUGAGGACCACCACAGGAAUGGAAGACCCAGAGUUCAUUUGAGUUACUAGCCUCAGAAAUGGCAACUCAAAUAAAUGCUUCACAGAGUUCAAUUAACAGACAUGUCUCAACAUCAACUGUUCAGAGGAGACUGUGUGAAUCAGGCCUUCAUGGUCAAAUUGUUGCAAAGAAACCACUUUCUUAAGGACAUCAAUAAGAAGAAGAGACUUGCCUGGGCCAAGAAACAUGAGCAAUGGACAUUAGACAGGUGGAAAUUUGUCCUUUGGUCUGGAGUCCAAAUUGGAGAUGUUUGGUUCCAACCGCCGUGUCUUUGUGAGACGCGUUGUGGGUAAACAGAUUAUCUCUGCAUGUGUUUUUCCCAUUGUAAAGCAUAGAAGAGGUAUUAUGGUGUGGGGGUUCUUUGAUGGUGACACUGUUUGUGAUUUAUUUAGAAUUCAAGGCAAGCUUAACCAGCAUGGCUACCACAGCAUUCUGCAUCAUUCUGCAGAUACACCAUCCCAUCUGGUUUGGGCUUAGUGGAGCUAUCAUUUGUUUUUCAACAGGACAAUGACCCAACACACCUCUAGGCUGUGUAAGGGCUAUUUUACCAAGAAAGAGAGUGAUGGAGUGAUGUAUCAGAUGACCAGGCCGCCACCUCAAUCAAAUUGAGAUGGUUUGGGAUGAGUCGGACCACAGAGUGAAGGAAAAUAUGGUUAAUAUGUAAUGAAAUGAAUUAUAUGUACACAUGAAGACAAUUGAAAGGGUGAAAUGAGAAACGUCAUUGUUUGCAAACUGAUCGACUUUGAUACCAAACUAAUGGGGAUUAUAGAUUGAAUAACCAUUCACUGUUUGUAUUCUUUCAUGAUUUAUGAUAAAUAGUUACGAGCCUAAUUGACUUACGGAUGAUUACUAUUGACUUCUUAAUGAACUGGAUUGUUGACUUCCCUAUUUAUGUUAAUCAUGAAUGAUUGUUAUGAUAUAAUCUUUGGCAUGAGGAAUUUGAACGGAUACAUGUUGUUUGUUUCCUUAGUGAUGCAGCACAAACUACUCAGUAAAUAUACCACUUUAUGGUUAAAGG